Molecule: long non-coding RNA, 3194 nt
Filed under: Mus musculus (house mouse)
Lineage: Eukaryota; Metazoa; Chordata; Mammalia; Rodentia; Muridae
Description: long non-coding RNA chr6:54700656-54703850
Source: RNAcentral
GUGAGUUCUCUUGAAGUAGCCCAUUAGCAAUGUCACACUGAGUGCUCCUUCCAGGGUGCAAGGUCCAGCCUUUGAGUCCUGCCCAUCGCCCCACUUUGUGAGCAUACAGCAGGGAGAGUGAGCUCUCUGUCUUGUAGGUACUGUCCAGGGCAGGUAACCUUCUUUUACAUAUGGUUGGUCACACAAAUAUAUGGCUUUUAUGGCUAAAUGAGGAUGCCUGAGCAGUUUGCUCCAUUCUGAGGUAACCUGCAAUUUUAUACACAGAGGCUUCAAAUCUAAAUUUACAUGUGUUUGAACAUUAAUAUAAGAUGAAUUUUUAUCAAAAAUGUAUUUAAACUUUGACCAGAUAUACUCGGUGUUAUCACAUUAAUGUUCUCUAUUUGUACAAGUUGAGCUAAGACCCCCUCCUAGUGGUGCAGCGGGCUGCUAAAAACUCUCCUCUUCUGCCCAGGGGUGAGGAAGAGAGAAUAUCCCUGGAUGUGGUUGAUUUCCACGGCAAACCCCAGAGGCAUCCACACAUCCAUCGUCCUUGCCAGCCUCCUUCCCUCUGCUGUUGUGUGUGUCCCUUCCAGGGUGGGCCUGUGCGCACACCCGAGCCUACCCGUUCCACAGUGAGACAGAUGUGACCCCUCCCAGCCUGCGGAGGCAGGCAUUCUAGUGGCAGCCAUAGCAUGGGGGAAGGGUCUUUGGGAGUUAGGAGAGACACUUGCCUUUGACUGCAGGACUCUGAUAAGUCAUGUGACUUCUCUAUGAAACAGGGCGAUUUACUCUUCUAGCUUUGAACACUAUCCUAAUGCAGCUGCGUAGGAAAGGAAGUGUGUGUUCAGAAGAGCAACAGCCCAGGACACGGAGGGACAUGGGAAAGAGAUACUUUGUAAUUUUGCCAAAGAUGGUGUCUUUAAGAUGCUGGCCAUGCAGCUACUUUAGAAUAUGGUGGCCAGCAGAUAUCCAGAUCCCUGGAGCCUGGGGUGGGCUCUAUCCCAGGCAACUGAUGAGAUUCUGUCACUUUGAGAGGUGGGUAAGCAGAGGUCCCAGAAGAUGGCUUGUCUCGGUUGAAUGUCAGUGUCAGGCAGAGCCGCUCCUCGCCCCACUAUGCUGAAGGGUUUGGAAGUGGUAUGCAGGGAACCCAAGAGGGGAGACUAGUGUGAAGACUAGCUGGAGGGGAAUGGCAGUGAACACUUUGCUUGUCCUAUCACUCAGGAAAGUGACAGUGAAGGCUUGGUAGGUAGCAGACAGAGACAGUGAGAGCAAACAUACAGGGAAGGACUGAUGGCAUGCUGACCGAUGUGACCAGCUGAAAUCUGAACUAGCCACUGACAGCACUCAAGAGGCGGAUCCUAUCACUGAGUGAUCCACGGAGACAUUUUCCUCCUAUCUGUCAGGUUACUUUCCUCUGCCUGGUGAUGGCACUGAGCCAAGCAGUCUUCAGACAUCGAAGAACAGAGCCAGGGCGCAGCGUGAGGCCCAGUGCAGUGCCUAGCAUCACUAGGGUUCAGUCAGACCGAAGGGUCCACUUGGGACUCCUGGGCUCUCUGCAGCACAGGGUACAUUCUGUGUUUCCAUGACCAGAGCACAAACUGUCUGCUACGUGAGGAAAUUGUCCUUCAUGCUAAUGCCUGAACUAGGUUUUCAGUGCGCUUAAGUCAGACUGGGUCUGGGGCUACCACCCCUGCUCAGUAUAGGCAGAACUGUUCUGUAGCACAAUGCAUGUCUCUGAAUAUUGUUUCGGUUUCUUCUCCGAGCACAAAACGUAUGUUCAGGGUGUCGUGAUCCCAGACUGGAACUUUUAGUUGUUGCAUGUUAAAACUCACCAGUUGGGAAACAGUUGAAUCAAAUCUGGUUUUUUUUUCCAGUGAGAGGAACGUAGGGAUGGGCAAGACUUAAUGUGUGUUGGGAGCAGGUGGACAGGUGCAGUGAAGAGUUAGGUCUCCAUCCAUCCGAGUUGUAAACAAAGCACAUAGCCCACCCACACUUACCUUCUGGGACACAGGACGACUUGUGUCCUUGGCUGUCUCUAGAGAAUUGGUUGCUUAGAGGAUGCUGGUAAUGGCUCUGUGACUUUCAUGAUGCCCCCUGCCAAGCCAGAGGCACAGCAAGUGUCCUGCACACCUGGUGGAAUUCCUCCCCUUAAAAAUAAAAUCAGCCGCUUGCCAGGGGAGCUCGCCUUCAAGAGUACUGGCUCAAGGGGCUGUGACAACAGAGUGUGGGCCAUACCUGCUCUCUCCUCCACUGGUGCUCUGGUGUCAGUGAAACUCAGGUGGGGGCUCUUGUCUCUGGAACAAACCUUGAGGGAGAUGCCAUGCAUGGCUUCUUGCAUCCUCUCCAGAGAUGCAUAAAAUGUAUUUACAUUAGAAACACUCCUCCUUCAUACAAACCAAGUCACUUUGGUUUGAUGGUAGCUAGCGAGAUGUGAGAAGCUGAGGUCUUUUAGGUUUCGUACAGAGUAGGUUUUGUACAGAGUAGCUGUAAAACUUGCUGGGACGCUGGCAGCCUGUGGUCCACGGCCAUGACCUGGAGCAUUUCCUGUUAGAAACCCCAUUCACCACACUGCAGGCUGAGAGGUUCCGAGCAGUCAAAGGUGUGUCCCAAGCUACAUAGGAAUUCACGUCCAGUUUGAUUAGGACUGUGUUCAAGUCGUCUGGUAUUGGGGGAAAGCUGACAGUGUGCGCUUCAUAAACAACCUUUCCCUGGGCUUUCCUUUUUGUAUCUCAAGGUUCUACCUUAACCAGAACCUUUUGAACUGGCAGAGACCAACGCUCUAUACACAUGCCAGCUGUCUAAAAGGCACUAAAAUAAAUAUUCAGUGCUGGGCAAAUCCGAACCCAGCUUUCAGACCAGUGCUUAUUUGUGUACAAGUGAGAUUUCUCCAGAGAAGCAAAUCAGAAGGAACAAAAGCAAGGGACUUUGUUGUUUGUUUCUGUUUUUUAUUUUUAUUUUUAGACAGUGAGUUUUUCCUGUGUGAUGUGUGUGCUUUCUUUGAGUCUGUAUUUCCUUUCAGAGAGCUCUCUUGUAAAUGACAAACUGUGAAAUGGGUUGCCAAAAACUGUGUCCUUUGUUAGAUGCUUCAGAGGGAACUGUGUAAAUUCUCUCUGCACCUUGUCCCAUCUGCUUCCUCCUCCCUCCCAUGAGAGCAAGGACCACAUCCAAGGAUGUAAUUACCAUACGCUUGCUAUUAAAGAGCCUUCCAGCCCUGG